Molecule: ribosomal RNA, 467 nt
Filed under: uncultured bacterium
Lineage: Bacteria
Description: partial 16S ribosomal RNA
Rfam family: Bacterial small subunit ribosomal RNA
Source: RNAcentral
AGUGAACGCUGGCGGUAGGCCUAACACAUGCAAGUCGAACGACAGCACAGUAAGAGCUGGCUCUUACGGGUGGCGAGUGGGGGACGGUUGAGUAAGACUUGGGAUUAUACGUCGUCGGGGGGGAUAACGUCGGGAAACUUACGCGGAUAACGCAUACAUCCUCCUGGGGAAAGCACGGGAUCUAAAAACUUUGCGCUAUUGAAUGAGCCGACGUCGGCUUAGCUAGUUGGCAGGGUAAAGGCCUACAACGGCGACGAUCCGUAGCUGGUCUGAGAGGAUGAUCAGCCACACUGGGACUGAGACACGGCCCAGACUCCUACGGGAGGCAGCAGUGGGGAAUAUUGGACAAUGGGCGAAAGCCUGAUCCAGCAAUGCCGCGUGAGUGAUGAAGGCCUUAGGGUUGUAAAGCUCUUUUACCCGGGAUGAUAAUGACAGUACCGGGAGAAUAAGCUCCGGCUAACUCCGUG